Molecule: long non-coding RNA, 1058 nt
Organism: Acanthochromis polyacanthus (spiny chromis)
Lineage: Eukaryota; Metazoa; Chordata; Actinopteri; Pomacentridae
Exons: 3
Source: RefSeq, a predicted model, not a curated record
CGCAAACGUACCAGACAGGUAAACCAGUAACGUCAAAUCAUCCAUGUGCUUGACCCUCCUUAACUUUGUCUGACUCUUUUUAUACGCUUGAAAUUAUCGUGCAAAAAACAGUAUCCACCGUUUACUGUCCUAAAACAGUCGCUCCAACAUUAGAAGUCCAAACACGCUUCUGUUUGGUGUCCAAACAAGCCUGUUGGCCUGAUGCCACUCAGCAGUUACAGAUGGAAAGUGGCCACCAGACAACCACUGAAGGAAAUGAUUCAUUACCUUAACUGUGGAUUCAAGAAACACAUGACUGCAGAGAAGAGUCCCUGUUUGGAGUAGUAAGAGCCAAGGACAGCAGCAAAACUGUUGACAGCAGUGUUUGAAGUAAAUGGGAAAGCUGAGCCUUUCCAGAGUUACUGAAAGGCGGCGAGAGUGCAAGAUGGGCAAGAAGUACGAUGAUGAUGGGGCUGACCUUCUCAUCAGGGAAAAGAAGACAUCAACAGAAGGACCUGUCAGCUACAUACCAUGUGAGCAAACACACGGACAACACAUUUUUCUGAUUAUUAUUUGUUGAAAAUAAUAAUAAUUUAAAAAGAUGUCUGACUUAUAAGUCUUGCCAUGUCCUCAUUGUACUCUAAAUUACUGUAUCUUCAUAGUGGACAGAUUCUCAAAUUGUGAUUUAUAUCCAGUGCCAGACAUAGUGCAUCCUGUAUUUGCUGUAGCAAAGCUUAAACAAAGGGUGUGGAGGUUUUCGAGCUUGCAGCACAUCUAAAUCUGAUUAGAUCUUUUGGGAUCAGAGUCCCCUCCCUUCUCACUCCUUAUUACUAUUUCUGUUUUAUGUUUUUACAUUGAUAUUUCCUAAAAUGAAACACAUUUUUUAGUUGUGUAACUCUAGUUUAUUACCAGAUUGUUCUUGCUAAAUCGGACAAUAGUUAUCCUGUGCAAAUACAGUAGAAACAGGCUGAAAACAUUGGCUUUGAAUGCUACAAAUGUGUCAUAUAUGGUCUGGAGUUUUGCAGAUCUGCUGACUCAUGUUGUGUCAUGGCAAUAAAGACUUCCAGCUCUAAACAGAG